GGCCUCCCUGGUGUGGCAUACAACCAGAUCGAGCGGUUGAGGAAGAAGACAAUAGGAUAGCCCUCCCAGAUCUAGCCGAGCGGACCGACUGGCGCCGUGCCGACGAGGCGACGACGACGAAGGCGCGUGCGUACAUGGGUUUGAUCUCUCUCUCUUCGUUUCCGCCUCCCUCUCUCUCUCUCUCUGCGUGUCGAACGUCUGCUGUGUCCGAUGGGAUAGGUCGGGGGCUGCGGUGGAGGGUUGAUGAUGGUGCGAAUGGCUGACAGAAGAGAGUGAGCACACAGCGGCAGACUACGUCUGGUAAAGAGGACGGAUGGAUGCGAGGAGAGAUAUAGACGCAGCUGCUGUUGCGUGCUCACCCUCUCUCUGUCAGCUCUCUCUCCCCCUUGGGACUUGUUCCGCCAUCAAUCUAUCCAUCCAUCUCCCCUUGCCGUUCCCAUCGCUUCGCAGCCAUCUUUGCCUGCAUCGACUGCCGAGAGAGGAGGCAGGACGAGGCUUUGUCUUGCUUGCUGUGUCCCCACCUGAACCCUAUCUUGUCCGGAUUCCGACGGCCUAGCUAGCCUAGUCCCCUGCUCUUUGGAAUAAGGUACGCUGUGCGCAUGCACGCCAUGGAUUCUUGCGCCGGCAGCCACCAAUUCCUAUUCCUUUAAAUUUCCCCUCUUUGGGGAGUCUCUCUCUCCUAGCCGUCUUUGCUUCUUCCAGGAUUAGCUAUCUUCUUGGGGGGAGGGGGACGCGUGUUGAUUCGAUUAACGCAGGUGGUGUUAUUUUGCUCGAGUCCCCAGGAGUGCUUAACGGAAAGCACUGUUUGACCAGUCCUUGCCAUGCCCUUCUCCCUCCUCCUCCUCCUCAUCUUCUUCCUCCUGUACUCCACCCCCUCUCUCUUUGUUGCUGCUUUAACUUUUUUGGAUCACGAAACUUCCAUGGUUUUUCUCCCCCUUUUGCUUCCUCAUCUCAUGUGCUGCUGUGAGAGGCAGGCAGGAAGGAGGCAGCUAUGGUGGCGGUGGCGGCAGAUCUGCAAUACCUGGCUGCAAGUGGAAAGCUGGCACGUAGCCGAUGGCGACGGCGGCUCCCAGAUCUGUGGGAACGUUCGAACAACAGAUGCAUGCUGCCUUCUAGGAGAUGAAGUGGCUGCAUGACGGCACACUUUCGUUUGCUACUUUCAGGGAAAAGUUGGAGCAGAACAGAAAUAAUUUACCCCCUACAACCAAGUGAUGUAUUUAAAAGGAGAAAGCUGUGCCGCCAAGCCUCAGAAACUUAUGCUGAAGAUGUAUUUCCCAUUUGGUGAAUCCAUGGUGCCACUUCUAUUUAUCUAUCAUCAAUUCCAGUUAGCCCUUUCUGGUGUUCGCGAUUUCUGGCUUCAACAGGAAAUAUGGCAUAAACGGCAUGAUCUUUUCUUCCGUGCAAUUCAGGAGACCGUUGCUAGUGUUAUGGGAAGCACCAUCCUUUUUCUCAUGUUCGUCAUCCCUUAAAAGCAUUGUAGUUUCCUCGUCAGAUUUUGUGCUCCAAUAUCUGCUGAUAUAUCCUCCAUCUCAACGAUGAAGUAUGCAGUUUAUCGUGAACAUCAUCUAUGUCUGGUUUGGUAAGCUGGCUUAAAGUCUGCUGUUUACUUUUGAGACUGGACUCACGAUCUCUGUAACAGAUUGUCUUUCUGUACAAAAUAAAAAUUCACUGUAAAUUUUAAGCUGCUUCUA
This is a long non-coding RNA of Triticum urartu, 1691 nucleotides long. RefSeq lists it as uncharacterized. The record is from RefSeq and is a predicted model, not a curated record. Lineage: Eukaryota; Viridiplantae; Streptophyta; Magnoliopsida; Poales; Poaceae.